AGGAGUGUGCUGCUCCCCAUCCUGGCACUGUGGGCGGGGAGCUGCUCAGGAGGGGCCCCACCAACCCCCAUGGGCUUGGCUACCCUGCAGCUGCUGCCCAGCCCACCAGGGGCCCCCGACGGUCAGCUGCAGCCCAUCCCUGGCAUCGGCCACCCAGACAAGCCUGAGGCUGGGAAGCUGGACCAGUUGCGGGAUCAGCCCACCCCGAAGCAGGGAGCUCAAGGAACCCCCACCCAGUCCCCCUCCACUGGCUGGAAAGCGCUUCCCAGGCCAGGGCUGGCCCUGAGGAAGGAGUCACCCCCAGUGACCUUGGAGCAGGAGCAGGGUCACAACAAGGGCCUGGUCGCUGAGUGGGCUCAGCCCCAGGCCACAGCUGCCAUGAGGGCUGGGGCAGGGAAGCCCGAGGCCUUGAAGCUGAGGCCCUGGCAGGCCGGCAGGGACCCUCAAGCUCAAGAGGGGGCAGCAGUCACCGAGGAGGACCAGGGCCAGAGGACAGGAGGCCGGGAAGACAAGGGAAGGGGCCUGAAACCCAGGAGGCCCCCCAAAGGGACCUCCCAUCAACCUGGGCUGAGGAUCCGGCGCCCACAGAAGGACCGCAGCCGAGGCCAGGGUGGCGGCGGCAGCACCUCCAAGACCCCAGGCCAUGGGUGGAAAAGACCAGGAAGCACACAUGGGCACAGGCACAGGCACGCAGACCUGGGCACCACCCAGCAGGCCAUGCCCUCUCUGCCGGCCUCGUGCCUCCUGGCCCAGGCAGUCAUCGCCUGUGGCAAUGUCAAGAUGAAGCAUGUCCCUGCCCUGACCCACCCUGGUCUGACCACACUCUACCUGGCAGAGAAUGAAAUUGCCAAGAUCCCAGCCCACACGUUCCUGGGGCUGCCCAACCUGGAGUGGCUGGAUCUCAGCAAGAACAAGCUGGAUCCCCGAGGCCUGCACCCCCAUGCCUUCAAGAAUCUGAUGCGGCUGAAGCGGCUGAACCUGGUUGGGAACUCGCUGACCACAGUCCCGGCCCUACCUGCCUCCCUGCAGGAGCUCAAACUCAACGACAACCUCCUGCAGGGCUUGCAAGGCAGCAGCUUCCGUGGGCUCAGCCAGCUGUUGACGCUGGAGGUGGAAGGGAACCAGCUGCGUGACAGGGACAUCUCCCCCUGGCCUUCCAGCCCCUCUGCAGCCUGCUCUAUCUGAGGCUGGACCGGAACCGGCUGCGGGCCAUCCCACGCGGCCUGCCGUCCUCCCUGCAGUUGAGCUGGAGCCCCCAGGAUGGGGAGGCAACAUUGUUACCAUCAAACAACCCUGCCUCUGCUUCUGCUGAGGGGGCGUGGAGCAGCCCAUAGGGGGAUCUGUGCGCUGAAACUCACGAGGCUUCAGGCCUCUCCUCAGCUUGACCUAACCUUCCAGAAGCCCACAGUGGGACCUCCUGGAUGGCUCUGCACCCUCUGGGUUCUCUGAGAGCUGCACCUGGGCACCAACCUCAUCGAGGAGGUGGCGGAGGGCGCACUGAGCCACAUCCACAGCCUCAGCGUGCUGGUGCUCAGCCACAACUGGCUUCAGGAGCACUGGCUGGCACCCCGAGCCUGGAUUCAUCUCCCGUGAGUGGCAGUCCCAGAGCUUCGCCCCAAUGGGCAUUCGGAGGCAGAGAGCAAGGAUGGCCCAGAGCAGCCCCGAGAGGAAGCUGGAGACCCUUGACCUGUCCUACAACCGGCUGGUGCACGUGCCCCGCUUCCUGCCGCGGGGCCUGAGGCGCCUGACGCUGCACCACGACCACAUCGAGCGCAUCCCUGGCUACGCGUUCGCGCACAUGAAGCCAGGCCUAGAGUUCCUGCACCUGUCCCACAACAGGCUGCAGGCUGACGGCAUCCACAGCGUGUCCUUCCUGGGCCUGCGCGCCUCGCUGGCGGAGCUGCUCCUGGAUCAUAACCAGGUGCAGGCCAUCCCACGCGGCCUCCUGGGCCUCAAGGGACUGCAGGUGCUGGGCCUGAGCCACAACAGGAUCAGACAAGUGCCCUUGAAUUCCAUCUGUGACAUGCGCGUGGCUCAGGACUCCAACCUUACCUCCACACACCUGGAGAACAACCUCAUUGACCGGCGCCGCAUCCCGCCCACUGCCUUCUCCUGCACCCGAGCCUAUCACAGCGUGGUCCUCCAGCCCCAGCGGCGGGGGGAGGAGGGCUCCUAGUCCUGCCUGCCGCCUUCCUCCAGCACACACUCUGCUUCUCGAGGGGGUGGAGGGGCAGGCUGAGGUGUGCUUGGCCUUUGCACCACUGGGAGAAAGGUCUAGAAGACCCCACUGCUUCCAGUGCACCCACUUCCCAUUGACUGGUGAGGCCGCUUCACUUAGCAAAUGGCCCAGGGGCGAAAGGUGGCACUGGUUUGUACUUGAACAUAAUAAAUGCAGCUUGGGCAGGCUCACCAGCCAGCCUCCCUCCC
Homo sapiens (human) is the source of this 2427-nucleotide RNA transcript. It is a transcript of the gene named extracellular matrix protein X-linked, pseudogene, with no coding region annotated. The record is from RefSeq and is marked validated. The transcript is spliced from 9 exons. NCBI's taxonomy places the organism in Eukaryota, Metazoa, Chordata, Mammalia, Primates, Hominidae.